This 478-nucleotide ribosomal RNA is filed under the name uncultured bacterium. Its description in RNAcentral is "partial 16S ribosomal RNA". It matches the Rfam family "Bacterial small subunit ribosomal RNA", at positions 28 to 523 of the family's 1533-position model. The record is from RNAcentral.
GACGAACGCUGGCGGCGUGCUUAACACAUGCAAGUCGAACGGUAAGGCCCUUCGGGGUACACGAGUGGCGAACGGGUGAGUAACACGUGGGUGAUCUGCCCUGCACUUCGGGAUAAGCCUGGGAAACUGGGUCUAAUACCGGAUAGGACUCCUGGCUUCAUGGUUGGGGGUGGAAAGCUUUUGCGGUGUGGGAUGGGCCCGCGGCCUAUCAGCUUGUUGGGGGGGUAAUGGCCUACCAAGGGGACGACGGGUAGCCGGCCGGAGAGGGUGACCGGUCACACUGGGACUGAGAUACGGCCCAGACUCCUACGGGAGGCAGCAGUGGGGAAUAUUGCACAAUGGGCGCAAGCCUGAUGCAGCGACGCCGCGUGAGGGAUGACGGCCUUCGGGUUGUAAACCUCUUUCAGCUAUGACGAAGCGCAAGUGACGGUAGUAGCAGAAGAAGGACCGGCCAACUACGUGCCAGCAGCCGCAGUAA